Molecule: transfer RNA, 81 nt
Filed under: Xylochloris irregularis
Lineage: Eukaryota; Viridiplantae; Chlorophyta; Trebouxiophyceae
Description: tRNA-Leu
Rfam family: tRNA
About the family: Transfer RNA (tRNA) molecules are approximately 80 nucleotides in length. Their secondary structure includes four short double-helical elements and three loops (D, anti-codon, and T loops). Further hydrogen bonds mediate the characteristic L-shaped molecular structure. tRNAs have two regions of fundamental functional importance: the anti-codon, which is responsible for specific mRNA codon recognition, and the 3' end, to which the tRNAs corresponding amino acid is attached (by aminoacyl-tRNA synthetases). tRNAs cope with the degeneracy of the genetic code in two manners: having more than one tRNA (with a specific anti-codon) for a particular amino acid; and 'wobble' base-pairing, i.e. permitting non-standard base-pairing at the 3rd anti-codon position.
Source: RNAcentral
GCCCUGGUGAUGAAAAGGUAGACAUAAUUGACUCAAAAUCAAUCGCUUAACGGCGUGGAGGUUCGAAUCCUCUUCAGGGCA